GACGAACCGUACGAACGUUAUUCGGAAUUACUGGGCUUAAAGGGUGCGUAGGCUGCACGGAAAGUUGGGUGUGAAAGCCCUCAGCUCAACUGAGGAAUUGCAUCCAAAACUGCCGUGCUUGAGGGAGACAGAGGUGAGCGGAACUCAAGGUGGAGCGGUGAAAUGCGUUGAUAUCUUGAGGAACACCGGUGGCGAAGGCGGCUCACUGGGUCUCUUCUGACGCUGAGGCACGAAAGCUAAGGUAGCAAACGGG
This 253-nucleotide ribosomal RNA is filed under the name uncultured bacterium. RNAcentral describes it as "partial 16S ribosomal RNA". It matches the Rfam family "Bacterial small subunit ribosomal RNA", at positions 524 to 776 of the family's 1533-position model. The record is from RNAcentral.